CCGGCGGAGGAUGGGCAUGCGGCGCAUUAGCUGGUUGGCGGGGUAACGGCCCACCAAGGCGACGAUGCGUAGGGGUUCUGAGAGGAAGGUCCCCCACACUGGUACUGAGACACGGACCAGACUCCUACGGGAGGCAGCAGUGAGGAAUAUUGGUCAAUGGGCGGGAGCCUGAACCAGCCAAGUCGCGUGAGGGAAGACGGUCCUAUGGAUUGUAAACCUCUUUAGGCGGGGAGCAAUGCCGGGCACGCGUGCCCGGAGGGAGAGUACCCGCAGAAAAAGCAUCGGCUAACUCCGUGCCAGCAGCCGCGGUAAUACGGAGGAUGCGAGCGUUAUCCGGAUUUAUUGGGUUUAAAGGGUGCGUAGGCGGAUUUUUAAGUCAGCGGUAAAAUGUCCGGGCUCAACCCGGGCCGGCCGUUGAAACUGGGGAUCUUGAGUGGGCGAGAAGUAUGCGGAAUGCGUGGUGUAGCGGUGAAAUGCAUAGAUAUCACGCAGAACUCCGAUUGCGAAGGCAGCAUACCGGCGCCCGACUGACGCUGAGGCACGAAAGCGUGGGGAUCGAACAGGAUUAGAUACCCUGGUAGUCCACGCAGUAAACGAUGAAUGCUAGUUGUCCGGU
Molecule: ribosomal RNA, 616 nt
Filed under: uncultured bacterium
Lineage: Bacteria
Description: bacterial SSU rRNA
Rfam family: Bacterial small subunit ribosomal RNA
Source: RNAcentral